Long non-coding RNA from Oncorhynchus keta (chum salmon), 514 nucleotides. RefSeq lists it as uncharacterized. Lineage: Eukaryota; Metazoa; Chordata; Actinopteri; Salmoniformes; Salmonidae. The record is from RefSeq and is a predicted model, not a curated record. The transcript is spliced from 3 exons.
CGACCGAGGAGGAGGAGAGGUGACACCGACCGAGGAGGAGGAGAGGUGACACCGACCGAGGAGGAGGAGAGGUGACACCGACCGAGGAGGAGGAGAGGUGACACCGACCGAGGAGGAGGAGAGGUGACACCGACCGAGGAGGAGGGGGAAGUGACACCGACCGAGGAGGAGGAGGAAGUGACACCGACCGAGGAGGAGGAGAGGUGACACCGACCGAGGAGGAGGUGGAAGUGACACCGACCGAGGAGGAGGUGGAAGUGACACCGACCGAGGAGGAGGUGGAAGUGACACCGACCGAGGAGGAGGUGGAAGUGACACCGACCGAGGAGGAGGAGAGGUGACACCGACCGAGGAGGAGGUGGAAGUGACACCGACCGAGGAGGAGGAGAGGUGACACCGACCGAGGAGGAGUGACACCGACCGAGGAGGAGGAGAGGUGACACCGACCGAGGAGGAGGAGAGGUGACACCGACCGAGGAGGAGGAGAGGUGACACCGACCGAGGAGGAGGUGGA